UGGGAACGCGAAGAACCUUACCUAGACUUGACAUCCCCUGAAUUACCUGUAAUGAGGGAAGUCCCUUCGGGACGGGGAGACAGGUGGUGCAUGGUUGUCGUCAGCUCGUGUCGUGAGAUGUUGGGUUAAGUCCCGCAACGAGCGCAACCCUUAUCGUUAGUUGCUACCAUUAAGUUGAGCACUCUAAUGAGACUGCCCGGGUUAACCGGGAGGAAGGUGGGGAUGACGUCAAAUCAUCAUGCCCCUUAUGUCUAGGGCCACACACGUGCUACAAUGGUGAGUACAACGAGAUGCGAACCCGCGAGGGGAGCUAAACUCAAAAACUCAUCUCAGUUCGGAUUGCCGGCUGCAACUCGCCUGCAUGAAGCUGGAGUUGCUAGUAAUCGCGAAUCAGAAUGUCGCGGCGAAUACGUUCCCGGGUCUUGUACACACCG
RNAcentral lists this ribosomal RNA (434 nucleotides) under uncultured bacterium. RNAcentral describes it as "bacterial SSU rRNA". It matches the Rfam family "Bacterial small subunit ribosomal RNA", at positions 954 to 1392 of the family's 1533-position model. The record is from RNAcentral.